UCCAAGCCAAUGUUACUGGAGCAAUAAUUCAUAAGCAUAAUUGAGGAUUGUUAUAAAAUGACCUGGAAUAUGUGCGAAUAUUGAGCUGCACGUAAAGUAGAUGAGACACAUUAUUUAACGAGGUUCGGCUAUGCCUACGUCCCCGGAGAGCAGCAGUAGUAACUUUUCCACUAUGUAAAAUAAUAGGGCUACAACUUUAGAGUUUACAAUAUGUAAGGCUCACUAAAUUUUCUCUCUGCUCACUCACCCUAUUUCUUCCUUCUCUUCCUCUUCUCUGCCUGACUCUCUUUCCUCUUUUCUUUCCUCCUUUCCCUUUCCUCUUCUCUUUCCUUCUUUCCUUUUCUUCUCUCUUUCCUCCUUUCCUUUUCUUCUCUCUUUCCUUCUUUCCUUUUCUUCUCUCCGUUUCCUUUUUCUUUGUUUUCUUUCCUCUUCUUUUUUUUUCUCUUCUCUUUCCGUUUCUCUUCUUAUUUAUAGGCUGAAAUAAUCAUUAUUCAUCACUAUUCACUAUUCACCCGUGACAGACAAACUCUACCAAAAGUCUCCAAAUGAAUAGUAAUGAAUAGUUAGUGGGCUCCACAUGUUUAUUCUUUUACAACACUCCCCCUUGGAGACCACUAAUGAUAUGUCGGUUGUAUCAUUAAAGACUUGCUUGGAGAAAACCUAGUAAGGUAGAGAACUGAUGGAAAGAAGAGUACAACAAUCUGUAUAGCAUACUUCUGGAUGCUCCCCCUGAUUAAUAUCUCCCCCUGAUGUCUUCAUGACUAUCUUUUGGAUUGAGAAUCUUUCUGAGUGAGUGAAUGAUGUAGCCACCAACAAUUCAUAUAGUAAAUAUAUUUCCAGUAAGCUAUCUCUAUGGAAAUCAUAAAAAUUUUCAGAGUCCGCGUUUCCAACAAAACCUGGGCUAUUUGUAAGAUCAUAUGAAAGAAUAUGCCCAUACAUGGUGUUAUGCGGAGAUAGCAUCAAAUAUACCUCACAUCAUCCCAAAAUGAUGGUGAUGGAGUUGAGCCUUAUCUGGAAAAUAUGAUGUCCGGUCCAAUAUACUUCCGGAAAAUCCUUAAAGUGCCCAACGGAUAAUCCUCAUAAUAAUGCUUCAAUACUUUCUCAGUAUAAGCAAGAAUCUCGUUGGCAUAAUGCUCGAUUUUUAAGUCGAGAUAAAUAUUUCUUGAAUUCUGCAGAAUCUUUAAUGUGUUGCAAUCACAUCAAUGUACUCACUGAGGUCAUUUAUGCAUAUUAAUAUUGAGUACAAAUUUUGUGCUUCAAGCACAUGUCCUUUAGGGACUUGCUUUAUGCAAUGUCAAUCCUCUCAACGGAUUUUGUUUAAAAGGGAUUAAACUUUAUGACACAUUAUAUAGCUUUAACCCAGCUAUUUAUACAUCUUUAGGGAAUCAGUUCAGGUGAUAUGCUCUGUGCAUUUAAUAACUCUUAAAGAUAAUAUGUUGGUUUCCGUAAUUGGGUAAUAAGGGGGGCACAAUUGAAUCUGUAAAUAUGGAGAAAACCCAACAUUCCUUGUUUCUGCCAGAAACAUUGUGUCAUACAAAGUAAGUAUAUUCCCUUUUAUUCCGAACACCCAAGUAUAACUUUCAGUAUUGACAAAUUUGGGGUUCGUACUGUGGGUUUGUUCUUUCACGUUCAUUCUCAUUUACAAUGGAAUUACCUCGUUCCAUUUUGGCCAAUAAUAUUGUCGACAUUUAAUAAUUGAACGUGGUUCCAAUCAACACAGCCCAUUGAUGAUUUGAGCAGCUACUCCAAAAUCAAAAAUUGUCAUUCAUCAAUUCAUGAUCUCACCAUUCUCAUGUGCAUGCGCAUGCAUCAAUUAUAAGCAUUUCUUUGCUUUUGGGUACCCAAGCCACUUCAGAGGGCUUUUAUUAUGUGAGAAUGUGGAUUAUAACCUCCAAUGGAGCGUUAUUUUAUAGUAGGGCGUGGAUAAUCUCCAUUUAGGGAGUUGGAACAUUUAGAACCCAUAUAUCUGUCAUGCUGCAGGCAUGCCAUAGAUUAAUACAUACAUGUCAAUUAAUUUAUGGGACUUUAACCCAUAUUAUGGGACUUUAACCCAUAUAAUUUGCUACGCAUUAGGCGUGCAUAAUAUCAAUAUUGACAUGUCAAAGGAUUGUCCUUUCGGGACUUCAAUCCAUAUCAUUUGCUACGCAACAGGCGUGCAUCAUAUUGAUCACUGCUAUACCCAUAUUCUGUUCUUAUGGGACUUUAAUCUGUGCAGUGUAUUAUCAAUGUAUCCAACUUGCAAUCUGUAAAAUUUGCGUUAAUAAUUCAUGGAUACAUACAAGCCAUUCUUUUGGAACGGACUUAUCUCCCAAUUUGGUUACCUUUCAAGAUAAAAUAUCAAAUAGGUAUAUAAGCAUAAAAUAACACAAGUAUUGCUUACAUCCUUAGGUGGGAGAAACUUUUCUCAAGUAUCAUUCAAGCUCGUAUCGGCCCAGUAAAUAUAAAGUAUCGCUUGAUGAUCUUGUUAUAUCCUGCAAGAGCAAAAAUCACAAUUCUCUUCUCUGUCAAAAACAAAUAACUCUCAGAGUUAGGAUCACUGCAUGGAUUCAUUCUUCAGAUGUUCAUUCUAAAGAAAUAAAAUCUCUUAUGAACAGAGAGUUAUAAAAAGAAAGAAAAGAUACAAAAAUUGUGAUAUUGAUUGCAAGGUAAGGUAAGCAAUCAGGAAGGAAGCUGGUGGGAGCAAACAACAAGCUCUCAUUUCUCCUAGUCUAGAAAGACCUCAGGAGAUUGGAGCAUAAGGUCACCUUCACAGUUCCCUAAUGCAGCGGAAACGUGAUCAGGGAUAGUCUCGCUUCCUGAAUGGAUGAUCAGAGAUAGUCUUGCUUCUCGGGCAUAUUGAGUGCUCACUGAUGAGAAAAACAAGUAGAUAUCGCAUCACUAGGUAUGGAGAAAACUAGAUGUCUUCUGCAAAGAAAAUUUCGUUAGUAACACAUUUAUACACAAAUACAAUGAAUAGGUAGAACCGGUGAAUUUCAAAUUAACCAUAGGAAAAUUGCGAGAUUCUCGGGAUGCUUUUGAAAAAGUAGCUCCGUGAAAUCCGUAAAGCAAGAUCGGCUUUGAAAAUAAUACUUGAAAACGCCGAAAGUGCCGACAGGCAUUAUUAGAGGCCACGUGAAGUUUUGGACUCUGGGAAAGAAAAAGAUAAUAUGGGGAUUCGAGAAGAUAUUGGGGUCCUAAAAAACAGUAGCCAUAUUUCCUCCUAUAGAUAUGGCCUUUGCAAAACUUGAUUGGAGCAACUGCGUUUCAACUCAAAUUUCUUCAUUUUCUGAAACUUUAGUUUUCCUGAGACUGUCUUCGAAACCUUCUUAAAAAUGGCUUCCUCUUCUUCCUGCCCAAAUUAUUUCAAUUUAAAUGAUGCUCCCACAACUACCAAUGAUGCCCAAGUUUGGCGUCCAUCCUUUGUAUCCCAAAAUCGUCAUCUCACAGUUAAUGAUUCUGUGAUGAUGAAUGAUGCUACUGCUGUCAUAGUAGCUAGGAAUUUCAUUACUCCAAUGGAUGAAAUGCUGUUAACAGGGAGGUCUGAGGAAGAGGCUAUUGAUGACUCAAUGGCUUUUAGCAUUCAGAGUGCUGCUUCUGUUUCUAACAUGGGUGAUCGUUUGCGUGCUAGAGCAAACGAGGUUGAGAAGCUGACAACUGAAAAUUCGUCUCUUCAAAGAAUGCUUCAUGAGUCUCAACAGGAGGUUGAGAAACUUAAAGGAGAGAAUAAUUCCUUGUUGAAACUGGUGAGUUCGUACUCCGUUGAUACACUGAGAAGGCUAGACAUGCUGCAGGUCUCCAAUGAAAGAAUUUUGGGAGACCACGAGAAGCUCAUGGCCAAGCUUAAGAGGCGCCGUACUCUUCCUUCAGAGGUUUCCAGAACAUAAUGUAAUUUUAUAGAUUUUACAAGGCCUGCACCUUCAUUGCAGGUAGAAAAAAAAAUCUAUCUGUUGUAUGUUCCUGUAAUAAUAAUUGCGCACAUUCUUAAACUUGCACCUGUGGUUUUUACGUCUUUUCAAAAUGACGGUUUGGAACAUUGUGCCUUAUAGGUUCAAAUAACCACAUUGUCUCUCCCAAAUUGCAUGGUAGCCCGGAACUUUUGGCCUGGGCACAAACUCAGAAUUUAUUUGCCCUUUUCAAAUGGACAUGAAAUGUGAAUUGAGUAAAAGCCAUGAUAAUAUCGCAAUAUAGUAGUGAAGAGCAUUAACUACUAUAUACCCACAACUUCAAGUUUAGGAUCUCUCAUAUAUUUGGAUCCAUGGGCUUCCGGCCCAGAUAUAACAAAAUAUGUGGGGAGCCUCAAUUCAUUAUUUGAGGUUUAUAUUGAUAUUAUCCAUUUCGCGGUGUAUUCUUAACAACCGGAAUUCACAAAAUAUAUUUCUUCCUUGAGGUGUCGAUUAUAACAAAAUCGAACUUUAAAUUCAUCAUCUUCUUAUGCCAAAGAAAUAUGUGGCAUACCACAAUUUGCAAUAAUACAUCAAGGGUUGUCCAUUUAAUUGUUGGAACUUCAGGUUCUCAACACUGUUAAAUUUUGAACUUCAGGCCAAAGCCACAUAUUCUCAUGGUAUGGACAUUUUUACAAUUUUCUGUACAUAUUUCGGGACUUCAAGCCCUUACAUAAUUGUCCAUAUUUUGAGGAACUUCUGGCAUCUCAUUUAAUUGCUCAUCCAUGAGUUUAAGGAACUGCAGGUUCCCUUUUGUAUAUAGUGACGGUUUACCCAAAAUGGUUCAUAUUUAUGCAUACGUCACUAUUCAUGUGAAUAGUACUAUUCAUCAAGUCAUGAAUACGUAUCUAUUCAUCUGCCAGUACAGUUAUCAUCAAUGUGUACGGCACUAUGAAACUGCAGGUUCCCUUUUGUAUAUAGUGACGGUUUACCCAAAAUGGUUCAUAUUUAUGCAUACGUCACUAUUCAUGUGAAUAGUACUAUUCAUCAAGUCAUGAAUACGUAUCUAUUCAUCUGCCAGUACAGUUAUCAUCAAUGUGUACGGCACUAUGAACCAAUACGGUACUGUUACAUCAUUAAGGAACUCUAGGUCCUUAUUUACAUGUCAGGGAUCAAGGACCCUUAAUUUCGAUCACAUGUUUACAAAUACAGUACCGGAGAGACUGCCAGCUCUCAUAUUAAUAUCAUCAUCAAGGAUCUUUAAGUCCUGAUGUAAUUGUAUGAUGAGGAUCAAGGAACUUCUGGUCCUGAUCUGCAUACUGUAAAAACUCAUCAUACAGCACAAUUAAUCCAUAAAAAAAAUUACUGAUAAAUAAAUUACUGGUAUGGACGAUAAACCCGCACCAUACAUUUAAAUAAAAGUAAAGGCGUGGACGAUAAACCCGCACCACCCUUUUAAAUAAAUGUAAAUGUGCAGUAAAUUAAAUUCAUAAAUUAAAUUGCUUGCUGUAUGGACGUUAAUCUCGCACCAUACCUUAAAUAAAUUAAAAACUUGCUGUAUGGACGUUAAUCCCGCACCAUACCUUAAAUAAAAUUAAAUGUGCGAUAAAGUAAACGUGCUUGUAUGGGCACUAAUUCUGCUCCAUACAUUUAAAUAAAAGCAAAGGCGUGGGCGAUAAACCCGCACCACCCUUUUAAAUAAAUAUUGUUGUAUGGGUAAUAAACCUACACCAUACAGUAAAUAAAAUAAAUGUGGGAAUAAAAACCACCACUGAACAAGAUAAGGAAAGUGUUAGUAUUAGUAACGGUCUCCCACUGAUAAUAUGUUUAGUAUUACCAAGGGUCCAUUUUUGUUAAUGGUUAGUAAUAGAAAAGCAGAUAAAUAUAGUAUAUUAUAUUACCAUCAACUUUUCAUAUAUAUAAUAUAUAUAUAUAUAUUGUACUGAUAUAUUAGUAGAAAGCUAGAUGCGUUAGCUUUUCUUCUUUACAUCAACAUAAUGGUUAGUAGUAUAAAUAAUAGUGCAGCACAAAAAUUAUACCUGAGAGCUUCUCGUGCUGAUAACGUGUUAUAAAAUGACCUGGAAUAUGUGCGAAUAUUGAGCUGCACGUAAAGUAGAUGAGACACAGUAUUUAACGAGGUUCGGCUAUGCCUACGUCCCCGGAGAGCAGCAGUAGUAACUUUUCCACUAUGUAAAAUAAUAGGGCUACAACUUUAGAGUUUACAAUAUGUAAGGCUCACUGAAUUUUCUCUCUGCUCACUCACCCUAUUUCUUCCUUCUCUUCCUCUUCUCUGCCUGACUCUCUUUCCUCUUUUCUUUCCUCCUUUCCCUUUCCUCUUCUCUUUCCUUCUUUCCUUUUCUUCUCUCUUUCCUUCUUUCCUUUUCUUCUCUCUUUCCUUCUUUCCUUUUCUUCUCUCCGUUUCCUUUUUCUUUGUUUUCUU
This 6300-nucleotide long non-coding RNA is filed under the name Prunus persica (peach). Its description in RNAcentral is "long non-coding RNA (PPER_LNC000697)". Lineage: Eukaryota; Viridiplantae; Streptophyta; Magnoliopsida; Rosales; Rosaceae. The record is from RNAcentral.